Molecule: ribosomal RNA, 253 nt
Filed under: uncultured bacterium
Lineage: Bacteria
Description: partial 16S ribosomal RNA
Rfam family: Bacterial small subunit ribosomal RNA
Source: RNAcentral
UACGUAGGGUGCGAGCGUUAAUCGGAAUUACUGGGCGUAAAGCGUGCGCAGGCGGCUUUGCAAGACAGAUGUGAAAUCCCCGGGCUUAACCUGGGAAUGGCAUUUGGGACUGCAAGGCUGGAGUGCGGCAGAGGAGACUGGAAUUCCUGGUGUAGCAGUGAAAUGCGUAGAUAUCAGGAGGAAUACCGAUGGCGAAGGCAGGUCUCUGGGCUGACACUGACGCUCAUGCACGAAAGCGUGGGGAGCAAACAGG